UAGUUGGCAGGGUAACGGCCUACCAAGACAACGAUCAGUAGCCGGCUUGAGAGAGUGGACGGCCACAUUGGGACUGAGACACGGCCCAGACUCCUGCGGGAGGCAGCAGUGGGGAAUAUUGCACAAUGGGGGGAACCCUGAUGCAGCAAUGCCGCGUGGGUGAAGAAGCACUCCGGUGCGUAAAGCCCUGUCAGCAGGGAAGAAAAUGACAGUACCUGGACAAGAAGCCCCGGCUAACUACGUGCCAGCAGCCGCGGUAAUACGUAGGGGGCAAGCGUUAUCCGGAUUUACUGGGUGUAAAGGGAGCGCAUGCGGCGUGGCAAGUCAUAUGUGAAAACCCGGGGCCCA
RNAcentral lists this ribosomal RNA (348 nucleotides) under uncultured bacterium. RNAcentral's name for it is "bacterial SSU rRNA". It matches the Rfam family "Bacterial small subunit ribosomal RNA", at positions 246 to 611 of the family's 1533-position model. The record is from RNAcentral.